This is a long non-coding RNA of Oncorhynchus tshawytscha (Chinook salmon), 1054 nucleotides long. The record is from Ensembl. NCBI's taxonomy places the organism in Eukaryota, Metazoa, Chordata, Actinopteri, Salmoniformes, Salmonidae.
GAAGUAUCGUAAAGAUGCCACAGAUUGCAACGGAAGUGCCAAGCACUAAAUGGGCUAUAUAGUGCAACGCUUUGGACUAUAAGAUAGAUUUUAUGCACUACAGGUGAACUACAGGUGAAGUCACUCAAUCCAGUCCCAUAGGCUUGUUGGGGGACCAUACCAAGGUGACAGCUAGCUGAAAGAGCUACCCGGAUUCAUAUCGCACUGCGGGAGGGACUCUGGAGAAAUCAAUGACGAUUCAGAUGGAGAGAUAUGGGCAGAUUCCAGGUUCUGACCCGUGGAAGACUGAAUGCCUGACUACAGGACAAGUGGACAAAUCUGGAUCUUUCAUCAUUGGGGAAUUUAUGUUUGAUGAGACUAGUGUUGAGGAUAGAAUUAGAUUGUACUUUGUUUCAAUAUUAAACUGUUUUUUAAUAAAGAUUGUAACAGAAAAUCCUUGAUAAGAAGAGUUAUAAUUCUGAUGUAGGUUUAAGGGUUAAAUUAAGGUAAAGGUUAGAUUUGAUUAAUGAUGGGUGAAGAGUCGGAUAAACAUUUAUAAUAAUGUUGGUUCAUAUUUUUAUUUUUGAUAAAAUUAAUGUAGAUUUGAAUGUAUAAUAUUUGAUCAAAGGGAGGAUUGUUAGAGGAAAUUAUGGUUGAAAUGACUAAUUAUGUAUACAUUCCAAUCAGAACUGACUAGUCCAAAUACUAUAAUGUACUGUACAUAUGAAUUUUCUCUCUUGCUCCCAUUCCCAAUUGUAUAUAAUGUAGUCAGGAGUUUAGUAACAAUGAAGGUCUGUUCCUUAGUUCAUUCAUUUGUACAAUCUCCAGGUGGCAGGAACGGCCUGUCUAGAAUGCUGAUUUAUACUGACUGACCUUGACUUCAGGCGUAGAGCGAAGGCUCGAGAGCUAGAGGGCCUCUACUGGUGAACGUUUAGAAAACGAUGUCAUUUUCAGUUUAUAACCUGUGGAAAUGUGUAUGUGGGAGUACUCUCUUGCAAUAAACGCUGUUACCUGGCUUUUAAGACUGGUCUCGAUCUACUUCAUGCAUAAUUAAUGAAUUUACAACUCAUUAAUG